RNAcentral lists this transfer RNA (77 nucleotides) under Gammaproteobacteria bacterium GWE2_42_36. RNAcentral's name for it is "tRNA-Pro". It matches the Rfam family "tRNA". Rfam says of the family: Transfer RNA (tRNA) molecules are approximately 80 nucleotides in length. Their secondary structure includes four short double-helical elements and three loops (D, anti-codon, and T loops). Lineage: Bacteria; Pseudomonadati; Pseudomonadota; Gammaproteobacteria. The record is from RNAcentral. RNAcentral also lists the same sequence under 2 other names.
CGGAGUGUAGCUCAGUUUGGUAGAGCACUGCUUUCGGGAAGCAGGGGUCGCUGGUUCAAGUCCAGUCACUCCGACCA